AGCCCCGUCGUAUAGUGGCCAAGUAUUCUAGACUCUGACUCUGGAGACAGGAGUUCGAAUCUCCUCGGGGCUA
RNAcentral lists this transfer RNA (73 nucleotides) under Candidatus Iainarchaeum sp. Its description in RNAcentral is "tRNA-Gln". It matches the Rfam family "tRNA". Rfam says of the family: Transfer RNA (tRNA) molecules are approximately 80 nucleotides in length. Their secondary structure includes four short double-helical elements and three loops (D, anti-codon, and T loops). The record is from RNAcentral. Lineage: Archaea; Nanobdellati; Candidatus Iainarchaeota; Candidatus Iainarchaeia; Candidatus Iainarchaeales; Candidatus Iainarchaeaceae.